RNAcentral lists this ribosomal RNA (253 nucleotides) under uncultured bacterium. RNAcentral describes it as "partial 16S ribosomal RNA". It matches the Rfam family "Archaeal small subunit ribosomal RNA", at positions 474 to 727 of the family's 1478-position model. The record is from RNAcentral.
UACCAGCACCCCGAGUGGUCGGGACGUUUAUUGGGCCUAAAGCAUCCGUAGCCGGUUCUACAAGUCUUCCGUUAAAUCCACCUGCUUAACAGAUGGGCUGCGGAAGAUACUAUAGAGCUAGGAGGCGGGAGAGGCAAGCGGUACUCGAUGGGUAGGAGUAAAAUCCGUUGAUCCAUUGAAGACCACCAGUGGCGAAGGCGGCUUGCCAGAACGCGCUCGACGGUGAGGGAUGAAAGCUGGGGGAGCAAACCGG